Molecule: ribosomal RNA, 234 nt
Filed under: uncultured Geobacter sp.
Lineage: Bacteria; Pseudomonadati; Thermodesulfobacteriota; Desulfuromonadia; Geobacterales; Geobacteraceae
Description: partial 16S ribosomal RNA
Rfam family: Bacterial small subunit ribosomal RNA
Source: RNAcentral
GCCACCGUAAGGUGAGGAGGAAGGUGGGGGAUGACGUCAAGUCCUCAUGGCCCUUAUGACCAGGGCUACACACGUGCUACAAUGGCCGGUACAAAGAGUUGCGAUACCGCGAGGUGGAGCUAAUCUCAUAAAGCCGGUCUCAGUUCGGAUUGGAGUCUGCAACUCGACUCCAUGAAGUUGGAAUCGCUAGUAAUCGCGGAUCAGCAUGCCGCGGUGAAUACGUUCCCGGGCCUU